AAAGCUUAAUUAUUAAGCUUUUAAACAUGGACCAAUAACAUGGUGACAAGUGUCAAGCUUGAAUUAUUUUAUUAUUUGGCUUUAAAAAUCAGCCCAUAACCCUCCCAACUCAUUUAUCUUGGUCGGCCAAAGACAGAAAAAAAGAAACAAGGAAGAACAAAAACCGUAGAGAGAAAAAUUCAAAGGGAAAUUGUUGAUUUUCAAGGAAUCAAGCCAUUAAAGGUAAAAUUUCUUAAUUCUAACUUGUGAUCUACCUUUCCUAUGCAUUAUUUUACAUUUUCCAUGGUUGAAUUACAAGAUAUCAUGAAGGAUAGUGUGCUGAUCAAACCUUAGGAGAGAGAAUUUGAUGAUGAAUUUAGUUAGAAAACAUGUUAUUCUAGUGUUUUUAGUUGUUUGGUGAUGUGUAGUAUGAAAAGCAAUCAAGAAAAAUUCAUGUUCUUACAUCAUCUUCAUUGGCCGAAUAUUCCAUGUGGAAUAUUGAUGAUGAAUUUGAUUGAAUUUCAAGUGAUUUGAUUAGGAAUGAAUGAUUUAUGGUGUGAUAAUCAAGCAUGAAAAAUUAUAUUGUUAGUGCACUCACCAUGGCCGAAUUUUUCAAGAGAAAAUGUGAAGAUGAUUUUGCCACAUUUCAAGUUAUUUAAAUUGUGUUUAAUGAUUUGGAGUAUUAGGAGAGAAAUGGAAUUGUUUGGAGUUGAAUUAGACAUAAUAGCCAAUUAAUCGAGUGAUAGAUCGAAUUAGGCAAAUACCAUUUUGUUUAGGUACAUAAUUGAAUUUAUAUUGAACAUCGUAAUUAAGUAGUUACCCGAGUAUUUCACAUCCCAUUUCACGCAUUAGUAUAGAGCCUGAAUUGGUUUUACAACAGUUUAACACAAAUGUAGCAAAUUGCUUAUUGUGCAUUAUGUCUAGGUGGUGAGCAUUCUGGCAAGAGUAAAGAGGUAGUAUCCGAGGAUCAAGAAUCAGAGUAUCCCGAAUUCGAUUCCCAUUACAAUGAGUAAUCUUAUUAACGUCUUAAUUAUCUAAAGUAGUUUUUAUUCGUUUUUGUGAUUUGAUAGAAAAAUGAGUUUAAAUGGUAAAUCUUUAUGUUUUAUAAGCAAAAUGUGAUUAAAUGAAAUGAUUUUAUAAAUUGUCUUGAAAUUGAA
Molecule: long non-coding RNA, 1136 nt
Filed under: Theobroma cacao (cacao)
Lineage: Eukaryota; Viridiplantae; Streptophyta; Magnoliopsida; Malvales; Malvaceae
Description: long non-coding RNA (TCAC_LNC000906)
Source: RNAcentral